GGAAUCCACCGUCCCUCUGUGCCGCCUCUAAUCUCCGCCCGGGCGGGCGCAGAGCGAGUGCACGUCACUGCGUGUGCGUGAGCGUGAGCGCCCGUCAACGCGAGAAGGGAUCGGGUUUAGGCUCUGCGUCCUUUUAGGGAAGUCUCGCUGGGAAACAAAGCUCCGAGCUUUGAGUUUCGACUCGCUGGGCUCCCGGGAGCCCCCACCACUGUGCCCACCGAGCCUCAUGCCCCUGAGUGGCCACCGUGUGACCAGCCUGAGUGGUGCAGGUGCACGCACGAGCUCCUCCCACCCGCAGCCGCCCCCGAGGGAGCCCCCAGCAGUGCACAAAGGGCGUGGUUGCAGCCCGAGCCCCGGCACCUGCCCCCGGCUGCACAGAUGCUGAGCCUCCACCUGGGGACGUUCUGCAGUGCCACCCUGACCCCAGGGGAGACGGGCCCUGGUGUCCCCUCGGGGUCUCUUCUCUGUCCCCCUUCUCCACCCUGCAAGCAAACGGAAGGAAAGCUGCACAUCUCCAAGGACGGGCUCGGGGAAGUCUUGGGUGCAGGCGGGGACCCGUCCCCGGCGCCACUCCAGGUGAUGCAUUGGAGGUGGGGGUGGGAGACACGCUGCCCCCCCCCCAAACCCAGGCCCCAGAACGACAGCCAUGGAGAGGCCAGAGAAGGACACCCGUCCCAUCUGUGCCAGGUCCCUCCUCUUUCCCCUAAGGGGUCUGCUGCCGGGGGCCAAGAUAAACACCGGGAAUUGAGACACCGGAGAACUUUUCCAGGGUGUGGCCGCCGGCACCUGCCACCCUGCAGGGUCCACACCCACCUCCCCCGAAUGCAGCUGACCGGCCCAGCUGGGCUGAAGCAGCUCCCGGCUCCCGGCUGGGCUGAGGUCCCUCCGGUUUCUCAGAUCGCCAGCCUGGGGGUGCCGAGUUCCCUCCUCCGUUUCAGACCGCAGAGCUCCACGAUUCGCAGAGACACAGAGAAACGGAUGUCUUCCCUCUGCCGCAGCCCCCCAAACGGGAGUGUGAGAGAAGACACCAACAGACACUCUAAUAGGGUGCGUUAACCGUGCGGGGGGCCGGGAGGGCCUUUGGCUUCCUCGGGUAAGAAUGAUGCUUUCACGGUACCCACGAGGGAUAAAGUGCUGGCGCUGGAUUCUCAUAGGAGCGCCAACGCCACUGUAAACUGGGCGUGCCAGGGACAUAGGUUGCGUCUCCUUAUGAGAAUCUAACUAUGCCUGACGAUCCGAGGUGGAGCUGAGGCAGCGAAGCCAGCGCUGGGGAGCGGCUGCAGAUGCAGAUCAUCGCGAGCAGAGAGGCUGGACACACAGAGACUCUAACAAAUCAAUGGCUUGCAGGCUCAUGUCAGAACCCUAGCAGAGGCCGGGCGAGGUGGCUCACGUCCGUAAUCCUGGCACUCUGGGAGGCCGAGGUGGGCAGAUCACUCAAGGUCAGGAGUUCCAAACCAGCCUGAGCCAAGAGUGAGACCCUGUCUCUACCAAAAAUAGAAAGAAAUUAAUUGGCCAACUAAAAAUAUAUAGAAAAAAAUAUUAGCCGGGCAUGGUGGCGCAUGCCUGUAGUCCCAGCUCCUCGGGAGGCUGAGGCAAGAGGAUCGCUUGAGCCCAGGAGUUUGAGGUUGCGUGAGCCGGGCUGACGCCAUGGCACUCACUCUAGCCUGGGCAACGGAGUGAGACUCUGUCUCAAAAAAAAACCCUAUCAGUGAGUAGCAAGUGACUAUGUAAUCAUAAUAGAAAUAAAGUGAGCAGUAAAGGUCAUGCGCUUGAAUCUUCCCCAAAACAUCCCCCAACCCAGUCCGUGGAAGGAAGUAAGUGCUUUUAUCUCCAUGUUCAAAAAGGCACUGUGGGAGCCAGCAGUAGCCACGGCGCCCGGGCCCACCCCGGCCACCAGACUGUCCUCUCCGCACCAACUCCAGGACCUCGUCGGCCGCUAGUGUGAGCGUGGGUCUGUCCCUGCCUGCCGACACGGCCCGGCUCUGACCUGCCUCACCCCUGCCAGGGUCCAGCAAAGCACUCGAGGCGUGGAACAGGCUCCAAAACACCGGCUGCUCAAUCCCCUCUCCCCUCUUCCCUGUCCCGUCUCCCCUCUACCCUGUCCCCUCUCCUGCUCUCUCCUUCCUCUGCUCGUCCCUGUCUCUGCCUAUCCUUGCUCUGCCCCUGUCCU
This 2170-nucleotide long non-coding RNA is filed under the name Microcebus murinus (gray mouse lemur). RNAcentral's name for it is "lncRNA (ENSMICG00000048697.1)". The stretch from base 1543 to 1693 matches the Rfam family "Metazoan signal recognition particle RNA". The record is from RNAcentral. Lineage: Eukaryota; Metazoa; Chordata; Mammalia; Primates; Cheirogaleidae.